This 442-nucleotide ribosomal RNA is filed under the name uncultured bacterium. RNAcentral describes it as "partial 16S ribosomal RNA". It matches the Rfam family "Bacterial small subunit ribosomal RNA", at positions 338 to 795 of the family's 1533-position model. The record is from RNAcentral.
CCUACGGGCGGCUGCAGUGGGGAAUAUUGGGCAAUGGGCGCAAGCCUGACCCAGCAACGCCGCGUGAAGGAAGAAGGCUUUCUGGUUGUAAACUUCUUUUAAGGGGGAAGAGCAUAAGACGGUACCCCUUGAAUCAGCCACGGCUAACUACGUGCCAGCAGCCGCGCUAAUACGUAGGUGGCAAGCGUUGUCCGGAUUUACUGGGUGUAAAGGGCGUGCAGCCGGAGAGACAAGUCAGAUGUGAACUCCACGGGCUCAACCCGUGAACUGCAUUUGAAACUGGUGACCUUGAGUGUCGGAGAGGUAAUCGGAAUUCCUUGUGUAGCGGUGAAAUGCGUAGAUAUAAGGAAGAACACCAGUGGCGAAGGCGGAUUACUGGACGAUAACUGACGGUGAGGCGCGAAAGCGUGGGGAGCAAACAGGAUUAGAUACCCCAGUAGUC